This 429-nucleotide ribosomal RNA is filed under the name uncultured prokaryote. RNAcentral's name for it is "bacterial SSU rRNA". It matches the Rfam family "Bacterial small subunit ribosomal RNA", at positions 355 to 774 of the family's 1533-position model. The record is from RNAcentral.
UGAGGAAUUUUGCGCAAUGGCCGCAAGGCUGACGCAGCAACGCCGCGUGAGUGAUGAAGGCCUUCGGGUUGUAAAACUCUGUCAGAUGGGAAGAACCUUGACCGAUUUAUAAGAUCGGACAACUGACGGUACCAUCAGAGGAAGCUCCGGCUAACUCCGUGCCAGCAGCCGCGGUAAUACGGAGGGAGCUAGCGUUGUUCGGAAUUACUGGGCGUAAAGGGCGCGUAGGCGGUGAUGUAAGUCAGAUGUGAAAACCAUCGGCUUAACCGAUUGGAUUGCAUUUGAUACUGCACCACUUGAGUUCAGUAGAGGAGAGUGGAAUUCCCAGUGUAGCGGUGGAAUGCGUAGAUAUUGGGAAGAACACCGGUGGCGAAGGCGGCUUGCUGGGCAGCAACUGACGCUGAGGCGCGAAAGCCAGGGGAGCAAACG